GAUGAAGAACGUAGCGAAAUGCGAUACUUGGUGUGAAUUGCAGAAUCCCGUGAACCAUCGAGUCUUUGAACGCAAGUUGUGCCCGAAGCCAUUAGGCCGAGGGCACGCCUGCCUGGGCGUCACACGUCGUUGCCCCCCCAUCUACUCCUUCGGGAUUGCGGGGGGCGGAUGAUGGCCUCCCGUGCGCCUCGCCGCGCGGUUGGCAUAAAUGCCAAGUCCUCGGCGACGCACGCCACGACAAUCGGUGGUUGCGAAACCUCGGUUGCCCGUCGUGUGCGGUCGUCGCGCAUCGAGGGCUCGAAAAAAUUGCCGGGUUCCGGCUCGGCUUUCAACGCGACCCCAGGUCAGGCGGGGUUACCCGCUGAAUUUAAGCAUAUCAAUAGGAGGA
This 388-nucleotide unclassified non-coding RNA is filed under the name soil metagenome. Its description in RNAcentral is "partial contains 5.8S ribosomal RNA, internal transcribed spacer 2, and large subunit ribosomal RNA". The stretch from base 1 to 122 matches the Rfam family "5.8S ribosomal RNA", at positions 35 to 154 of the family's 154-position model. The record is from RNAcentral.